UGUGGGCAUGCUUACCUGCAGUCGAACGGUGAAGCAGAGCUUGCUCUGUGGAUCAGUGGCGAACGGGUGAGUAACACGUGAGCAAUCUGCCCCUCACUCUGGGAUAAGCGCUGGAAACGGCGUCUAAUACUGGAUACGAGCUGCGAAGGCAUCUUCAGCAGUUGGAAAGAUUUUUCGGUGGGGGAUGAGCUCGCGGCCUAUCAGCUUGUUGGUGAGGUAAUGGCUCACCAAGGCGUCGACGGGUAGCCGGCCUGAGAGGGUGACCGGCCACACUGGGACUGAGACACGGCCCAGACUCCUACGGGAGGCAGCAGUGGGGAAUAUUGCACAAUGGGCGCAAGCCUGAUGCAGCAACGCCGCGUGAGGGAUGACGGCCUUCGGGUUGUAAACCUCUUUUAGCAGGGAAGAAGCGAAAGUGACGGUACCUGCAGAAAAAGCGCCGGCUAACUACGUGCCAGCAGCCGCGGUAAUACGUAGGGCGCAAGCGUUAUCCGGAAUUAUUGGGCGUAAAGAGCUCGUAGGCGGUUUGUCGCGUCUGCUGUGAAAUCCCGAGGCUCAACCUCGGGUCUGCAGUGGGUACGGGCAGACUAGAGUGCGGUAGGGGAGAUUGGAAUUCCUGGUGUAGCGGUGGAAUGCGCAGAUAUCAGGAGGAACACCGAUGGCGAAGGCAGAUCUCUGGGCCGUAACUGACGCUGAGGAGCGAAAGGGUGGGGAGCAAACAGGCUUAGAUACCCUGGUAGUCCACCCCGUAAACGUUGGGAACUAGUUGUGGGGUCCAUUCCACGGAUUCCGUGACGCAGCUAACGCAUUAAGUUCCCCGCCUGGGGAGUACGGCCGCAAGGCUAAAACUCAAAGGAAUUGACGGGGACCCGCACAAGCGGCGGAGCAUGCGGAUUAAUUCGAUGCAACGCGAAGAACCUUACCAAGGCUUGACAUACACGAGAACGCUGCAGAAAUGUAGAACUCUUUGGACACUCGUGAACAGGUGGUGCAUGGUUGUCGUCAGCUCGUGUCGUGAGAUGUUGGGUUAAGUCCCGCAACGAGCGCAACCCUCGUUCUAUGUUGCCAGCACGUUAUGGUGGGAACUCAUGGGAUACUGCCGGGGUCAACUCGGAGGAAGGUGGGGAUGACGUCAAAUCAUCAUGCCCCUUAUGUCUUGGGCUUCACGCAUGCUACAAUGGCCGGUACAAAGGGCUGCGAUACCGUAAGGUGGAGCGAAUCCCAAAAAGCCGGUCCCAGUUCGGAUUGAGGUCUGCAACUCGACCUCAUGAAGUCGGAGUCGCUAGUAAUCGCAGAUCAGCAACGCUGCGGUGAAUACGUUCCCGGGUCUUGUACACACCGCCCGUCAAGUCAUGAAAGUCGGUAACACCUGAAGCCGGUGGCCCAACCCUUGUGGAGAGCCUCGAACGGGAUAG
This 1415-nucleotide ribosomal RNA is filed under the name uncultured Microbacterium sp. RNAcentral describes it as "bacterial SSU rRNA". It matches the Rfam family "Bacterial small subunit ribosomal RNA". The record is from RNAcentral. Lineage: Bacteria; Bacillati; Actinomycetota; Actinomycetes; Micrococcales; Microbacteriaceae.